Vigna radiata var. radiata (mung bean) is the source of this 486-nucleotide long non-coding RNA. RefSeq lists it as uncharacterized. The record is from RefSeq and is a predicted model, not a curated record. Lineage: Eukaryota; Viridiplantae; Streptophyta; Magnoliopsida; Fabales; Fabaceae. The transcript is spliced from 2 exons.
GCAAGCCAUUAGACACCAACAACUCCCAAUCACUCCACCACCGACACUCUUCUUCAUUUUCUACUUCAUCUCUUUCUUUGCAUUCCUUCAUUCUUCCAUCUCCAUCAUCAUCUUCUUCUUCUUCUUUUUCUCCUUCUCAUACUCUUCAUUCAUUCAUCUCCCAUCUAUCAUCACUUUGGGUUCAAAAUAUUUGAUCUAGGAUCAUUUCUCUGAAUUGACCGUGCACUAGAGUAGGUGAUGAUGUACCUCUGGAGCAGACAUUGGAAACCGAAGAAGAUCCAACACCUAGUUCUUAGACGAUGGUGUUGUUUUAUUUCUUUUAGCUGAUCUUGUUUGGCAAAACUUUGGACCUUUGUACUUUNAAUUCUUGUCGUUUUAAUUUCCCCUAUAUUUUGGAUAACUGUAACUUAUACUUAUACAGUUAUUUUCUACUCUCAACCUGCUUUUUAUUAUUAUAAUAUGUUGCAUUCCAUUUGAUAUGAUUUA